This 417-nucleotide ribosomal RNA is filed under the name Triticum aestivum (bread wheat). RNAcentral describes it as "partial small subunit ribosomal RNA". Lineage: Eukaryota; Viridiplantae; Streptophyta; Magnoliopsida; Poales; Poaceae. The record is from RNAcentral.
AUGAAAGUUGCUCAGAACGACGAGACGAAUCCGGAUACGCAACCCGUUCGUCCACCACGCAUCCCUAGCAUAGCGAACACGCAACUUUCCCCCUCCGGUUUAUCUGUCCGAAAACGUGAAACACCGUGGAUACUUUCCCGGAUGUUUUCCCCCUUCGCCGAUAUCACCUCCUACCGCGUUAGGUCACACCCGUCACAUCUUAUUGCCAUGUUAUGCUUUGUGGUGCUCUGUUUGCUUUAUAUUUACUGUUUCUUCCCCCUCUUCUCUCCGGUAGACCCCGAGACCGAUGCUGCUCUUGUGAUCGACUACGUCGACUACGACCCCCCUCCUUGCCAGAGCAACCAGAUGACGGAUCCCAGGAGCCAGACGACGCCACUCAUGACUACUACUAUCCGGAGGAUGCCUACUACUACGUGA